GACGUAGGAUGCGAGCGUUGUCCGGAUUUAUUGGGCGUAAAGAGUUCGUAGGUGGUUCGUUAAGUCUGCUGUGAAAGUCCAGGGCUCAACCCUGGAAGGCCGGUGGAAACUGUCGGGCUAGAGUCCGGAAGAGGCGAGUGGAAUUCCCGGUGUAGCGGUGAAAUGCGCAGAUAUCGGGAGGAACACCAAUGGCGAAGGCAGCUCGCUGGGACGGUACUGACGCUGAGACGCGAAAGCGUGGGGAGCAAACAGG
RNAcentral lists this ribosomal RNA (253 nucleotides) under uncultured bacterium. RNAcentral describes it as "partial 16S ribosomal RNA". It matches the Rfam family "Bacterial small subunit ribosomal RNA", at positions 524 to 776 of the family's 1533-position model. The record is from RNAcentral.